GAUGAACGCUAGCUACAGGCUUAACACAUGCAAGUCGAGGGACCGGCGCACGGGUGAGUAACGCGUAUCCAACCUACCCAAUACUCAGGCAUAACCCGUUGACAGACGGACUAAUUCCUGAUGGUAUUGGAUUGGGAUGCGUCUGAUUAGUUUGUUGGUGAGGUAACGUCUCACCAAGACUUCUAUCAGUAGGGGUUGUGAGAGGAAGGUCCACCAAAUUGGAACUGAGACACGGUCCAAAAGCCUACGGGAGGCAGCAGUGAGGAAGAUUGGUCAAUGGAUGCAGAUCUGAACCAGCCAAGUGGCGUGCAGAAUGACGGGCUAUGGGUUGUAAACUGCUUGUAUGUGAGAAUAUGUAUCACAUGAAUAAGGACCGGCUAAUUCCGUGCCAGCAGCCGCGGUAAUUC
RNAcentral lists this ribosomal RNA (407 nucleotides) under uncultured bacterium. Its description in RNAcentral is "partial 16S ribosomal RNA". It matches the Rfam family "Bacterial small subunit ribosomal RNA", at positions 28 to 526 of the family's 1533-position model. The record is from RNAcentral.